GAGGCGGGCAGGGCUGCCAUCCACCAGGAGAGAUCACCUUAAACCAACUGCCUACUCACCUGGGUUGCAGCCACCCUAAGCCCUGUACCCCUGGCACCAGCACAAGUUUAGGGGAGAGACCUUCACUUCUUGCUCUGCCUCUGUGGGAAAGAAUCACUCCGGGUUUCAGAGGUGUUUCUUGUGACCACGAGGACAAGCAUCAGCCGAGGAAGCUAUCUGGAUAGAGCAGUGGAAGCAUGGAUCACAGAGAUGGAAAAGAUGUCAAGGAUCAAGUAAUCUGCCCUUCAUCCCAAUGGUGUUAGCUAAACCACUCCUGCCAGAUGCUGGUUUGGCCUGUUCUUAACCAUCUCCAGCUGCAGAGAUUCCAUAAAGGCAGUUUAUUCCCAAGAUGUUUGCAAAGAUGUGACAGAAAGGUUAAAAUAAGUCUGAAUGGAUGAAAAAGUUCAAGUCUGGAAGGGACAAAAGAAACAGCAGGGGUUAAUAACACCUUGCUGAGCAGGUCCUCACAUCUACAAGGAGCUUCUCUGGACACCUAGACUGGGAAAACAAGAAAUUACUUGAAACAAGGGAGAGCCUAUGGACAGACCAAGACAGCACGAUACCUAGUAUAAAAUUAAACUUCAGUGGCACAAAGCAGUUAUAUCAGCGGCUACCCAAAGUCCGGCAUAUUCAUAUCCUUCAUCAGACAUUACCCAGGAAAUAUCCAGUCUAAUCAGUUUUAAGGAGGUAUCAACUUGAAGAUAAAUACUUCCUUUAUCCUGUUACAUCUGUAUUCAGAUUAUCCAUGUGCUGGGAAUAAAACCUUUGUUCACACGUA
Molecule: long non-coding RNA, 817 nt
Organism: Gallus gallus (chicken)
Lineage: Eukaryota; Metazoa; Chordata; Aves; Galliformes; Phasianidae
Exons: 3
Source: RefSeq, a predicted model, not a curated record